This 427-nucleotide long non-coding RNA is filed under the name Olea europaea subsp. europaea. Lineage: Eukaryota; Viridiplantae; Streptophyta; Magnoliopsida; Lamiales; Oleaceae. The record is from RNAcentral.
AUCAUUUCAACCUUUCCAUUCAUUUUGUUCUCUCUUUCUUCAAUGUUCCCGUUCUUCCUUUUUUCUUUCCUUUUCUCUUUCUUCCGCUUUCCCACUCCUUUCCUUUUCUCUCUCUUCAAGGGGAGCCUUCACUAACAGCUAGACCGUGGCCUCAACUACUUCACCCACAGUGGUGAUCCUUAAAGCACCGACUUAUUCGAUGUUGGUGGAGGAAAAGUUGAAGCGAAAUUAAAUGAAAACGAUCUCCAGCAGGCGUCUUAUCGGCUUCUUGGCUUGUGAGAUCUCACUUCAUGGGGUCUUUGUUUCUGGUUUGUAGUGAGAACAUGUAUUUUUUUAUUAAGAUUUAAAUCUUUUUUCGUGCUUUCAUGUUCAUUUUAGUUUAUAAUAAAGAAGUUUAAUGUUUUUUAUUUUUGCAUUUCAUUUUUGG